GGAGUUAUGGCUCAGUGGUAGAGCACUUGCCUGGCACGCAUGAAGCACUGGGUUUGAUCUUUAGCACCA
This 69-nucleotide transfer RNA is filed under the name Ictidomys tridecemlineatus (thirteen-lined ground squirrel). RNAcentral describes it as "Spermophilus tridecemlineatus (thirteen-lined ground squirrel) tRNA". It matches the Rfam family "tRNA". From Rfam's summary of the family: Transfer RNA (tRNA) molecules are approximately 80 nucleotides in length. Their secondary structure includes four short double-helical elements and three loops (D, anti-codon, and T loops). Lineage: Eukaryota; Metazoa; Chordata; Mammalia; Rodentia; Sciuridae. The record is from Rfam by way of RNAcentral.